RNAcentral lists this ribosomal RNA (350 nucleotides) under uncultured Candidatus Accumulibacter sp. RNAcentral's name for it is "bacterial SSU rRNA". It matches the Rfam family "Bacterial small subunit ribosomal RNA", at positions 508 to 856 of the family's 1533-position model. Lineage: Bacteria; Pseudomonadati; Pseudomonadota; Betaproteobacteria. The record is from RNAcentral.
CCAGCAGCCGCGGUAAUACGUAGGGUGCGAGCGUUAAUCGGAAUUACUGGGCGUAAAGCGUGCGCAGGCGGUUUUGUAAGUCAGAUGUGAAAUCCCCGGGCCCAACCUGGGAACUGCAUUUGAGACUGCAAGACUGGAGUUUGGCAGAGGGGGGUGGAAUUCCACGUGUAGCGGUGAAAUGCGUAGAGAUGUGGAGGAACACCGAUGGCGAAGGCAGCCCCCUGGGCCAAUACUGACGCUCAUGCACGAAAGCGUGGGGAGCAAACAGGAUUAGAUACCCUGGUAGUCCACGCCCUAAACGAUGUCAACUAGGUGUUGGGAGGGUUAAACCUUUUAGUGCCGUAGCUAAC